RNAcentral lists this ribosomal RNA (253 nucleotides) under uncultured bacterium. RNAcentral describes it as "partial 16S ribosomal RNA". It matches the Rfam family "Bacterial small subunit ribosomal RNA", at positions 524 to 776 of the family's 1533-position model. The record is from RNAcentral.
GACGGAGGAUGCAAGCGUUAUCCGGAAUGAUUGGGCGUAAAGCGUCCGCAGGUGGCAGUUCAAGUCUGCUGUCAAAGACCGGGGCUUAACUUCGGAAAGGCAGUGGAAACUGAACAGCUAGAGUAUGGUAGGGGCAGAGGGAAUUCCUGGUGUAGCGGUGAAAUGCGUAGAGAUCAGGAAGAACAUCGGUGGCGAAGGCGGGUCUCUGGGCAGUAACUGACGCUGAGGAGCGAAAGCGUGGGUAGCAAACAGG